CCUACGGGAGGCAGCAGUGGGGAAUAUUGGGCAAUGGGCGAAAGCCUGAUCCAGCAACGCCGCGUGAAGGAAGAAGGCUUUCGGGUUGUAAACUUCUUUUAUCAGGGACGAAGCAAGUCACGGUACCUGAUGAAUAAGCCACGGCUAAAUACGUGCCAGCAGCCGCGGUAAUACGUAGGGGGCAAGCGUUAUCCGGAUUUACUGGGUGUAAAGGGCGUGUAGGCGGGAGUGCAAGUCAGAAGUGAAAAGUGUGGGCCCAACCCAUAGCCUGCAUUUGAAACUGUACGUCUUGAGUGCUGGAGAGGCAAGCGGAAUUCCGAGUGUAGCGGUGAAAUGCGUAGAUAUACGGAGGAACACCAGUGGCGAAGGCGGAUUACUGGACAGUAACUGACGCUGAGGCGCGAAAGCGUGGGGAGCAAACAGGAUUAGAUACCCUGGUAGUC
Molecule: ribosomal RNA, 443 nt
Filed under: uncultured bacterium
Lineage: Bacteria
Description: partial 16S ribosomal RNA
Rfam family: Bacterial small subunit ribosomal RNA
Source: RNAcentral